UGUCAACCCUGCUUAGGUGUAGCGAUACACAUCAAUGCUGACCACCCAGGCAAAGCUGCAGGAGGCAGACCCUCUUGGUGGGAAGCAAUCGGAGGUGGAGUAGAUCCUGCUGAGCCAAAAUGUCGUGAAAUACAUAAAUAACGAUGCAAGCACCAGCAUGCACGUAUUUAGAGCAGUCAUGAAACAAAAAGCAGUGUGCGUGCGUGCAUUACAUGUCAGCAGAGGCACUGUAGGGGUGCUCGCUUAGCAGAAAGACAGGCAGGAAGCUGGAGCUGGCAGAGCAAAGAACAUGCAGAGGCCGCGGAUCUGGGCUGCACGGCAGCCUUGCAACUUGAUGACGCGCCAGGGGCCUGGAUGCACACACAGAUGAAGCAUCAGGCAAAGCUGUGAAUCAGGCCACCAGUCUGAGCAGCACAGUGACGACUGGUCAGGGGAAGCAGUGGGGUAAAACCCGUUUGGAAGGUGAGAAACAAGCGGCCUUACGCACUGCAGAGAAAGGCCAGGAAAGCGGCCUGACGCUGCACCGGAAGGAAAGGGGCAGGGCAGAAUGAACAAAGUAGAGGUGCAAAACACCGAGAGGAAACCUCAGUGUUGUGGGUAAUCUACAGCUACAACCAGGACACUUCCUGUUUGCUUCUUUCUGGUACAGGAAUUCGUUCCUGGCUCAGUCUGGGAGCUAUUGGUGGGAAAGGGUAAGAGGGUGACUCUGCCAGGAGUAGGGAGUAUUCACAGAGAGGUAAGAGAAGAUCCUGACCAUUUCACAUAUAAAGAACAGAUAAUUACACAGUGGGGUGUUUGGAGCUCACACACCACACAGAAAGAGAUGUGAUGUCUUUACAGGUGCAUGUUGGCUUCAUGACCCACUUUCAGCGGAACAUAUGCUCAUCCUGAGUGGUCAUGGUUGGCCCAGAGCCAGUCGAGUUAUCUUGCUUCAGCCUUGCAUGUGACCCGUGCUACACACUGACAAACUGAUGGCCAGGGCAAAGCAGAGCAAUCUGGUAGCAUGAUUCACCCUAAGGCUAACAGAGGGACAACUUGAAGGAAGACAGUCCAAAGCAUCAAGGGAUGCUGAAGAAGCAUUACCCGGGGCAAGCAUGCAGGAAGCCGUACUUGUUCCUGCAGAAACAGGAUCUCAUUGACCACAUCUGACAUGACAACACAGGGAGGAAACCC
Long non-coding RNA from Orcinus orca (killer whale), 1173 nucleotides. RefSeq lists it as uncharacterized. The record is from RefSeq and is a predicted model, not a curated record. Lineage: Eukaryota; Metazoa; Chordata; Mammalia; Artiodactyla; Delphinidae. The transcript is spliced from 3 exons.